AGGUACUCCGGGGAUAACAGGCUGAUACCGCCCAAGAGUUCAUAUCGACGGCGGUGUUUGGCACCUCGAUGUCGGCUCAUCACAUCCUGGGGCUGAAGUAGGUCCCAAGGGUAUGGCUGUUCGCCAUUUAAAGUGGUACGCGAGCUGGGUUUAGAACGUCGUGAGACAGUUCGGUCCCUAUCUGCCGUGGGCGCUGGAGAACUGAGGGGGGCUGCUCCUAGUACGAGAGGACCGGAGUGGACGCAUCACUGGUGUUCGGGUUGUCAUGCCAAUGGCACUGCCCGGUAGCUAAAUGCGGAAGAGAUAAGUGCUGAAAGCAUCUAAGCACGAAACUUGCCCCGA
This 342-nucleotide ribosomal RNA is filed under the name Salmonella enterica. Its description in RNAcentral is "partial 23S ribosomal RNA". It matches the Rfam family "Bacterial large subunit ribosomal RNA", at positions 2461 to 2802 of the family's 2925-position model. RNAcentral also lists the same sequence under 4 other names. Lineage: Bacteria; Pseudomonadati; Pseudomonadota; Gammaproteobacteria; Enterobacterales; Enterobacteriaceae. The record is from RNAcentral.